GCCUUCGUGGUGUAAUAGUCAGAACACUCGGCCCGUAUUCGAGAGGUCCGAGGUUCGAGUCCCAGCGAGGACA
This 73-nucleotide transfer RNA is filed under the name Stegodyphus mimosarum. It matches the Rfam family "tRNA". From Rfam's summary of the family: Transfer RNA (tRNA) molecules are approximately 80 nucleotides in length. Their secondary structure includes four short double-helical elements and three loops (D, anti-codon, and T loops). Further hydrogen bonds mediate the characteristic L-shaped molecular structure. tRNAs have two regions of fundamental functional importance: the anti-codon, which is responsible for specific mRNA codon recognition, and the 3' end, to which the tRNAs corresponding amino acid is attached (by aminoacyl-tRNA synthetases). tRNAs cope with the degeneracy of the genetic code in two manners: having more than one tRNA (with a specific anti-codon) for a particular amino acid; and 'wobble' base-pairing, i.e. permitting non-standard base-pairing at the 3rd anti-codon position. Lineage: Eukaryota; Metazoa; Arthropoda; Arachnida; Araneae; Eresidae. The record is from Rfam by way of RNAcentral.